This is a non-coding RNA of Microcebus murinus (gray mouse lemur), 412 nucleotides long. The record is from RefSeq and is a predicted model, not a curated record. Lineage: Eukaryota; Metazoa; Chordata; Mammalia; Primates; Cheirogaleidae.
AUGGAAGAGGCUCCCAGAUAAUUGGUACUUAAUCUUGUCUCCUGAGAUAGUGGCCUUUUUGGUUAAGUCAUUAGUGACUUCGAUAGAGAUUCUAGCCAGUGGCAGCUGAAUCCAUCAGGAGCUUAUGGUCUUGAACAAAAUGAACCUGGAAGGAGAGAAAACAGAGCGGUGAGUGGCAUCCCUCUGAACGAAGAACAGCACCAAAACAAGAAGCUGUGUCUUGAAAACCACUAAGAAGGCCUGUCUACGUGGGAGUGAAGGACUCAAGAAUUUUUUUUAUUGCACUUCUAAAAUUCAGCCUUGUUAACGCAGAAAAUAAGGAUGGAUUUUGCAAAUAAUUGAAAAGUUUUUUUAAGGACAUUAAUUUAUUUCUAGGAUAUGAAUGAUGUUAAUGAAAAUAUUUUUAGAUUUC